CCUACGGGGUGCAGCAGUGAGGAAUAUUGGUCAAUGGGCGGGAGCCUGAACCAGCCAAGCCGCGUGAGGGAAGAAGGUACAGCGUAUCGUAAACCUCUUUUGUCAGGGAACAAAGGCGGGGACUAGUCCCCGGAUGAGGGUACCUGAAGAAAAAGCAUCGGCUAACUCCGUGCCAGCAGCCGCGGUGAUACGGAGGAUGCGAGCGUUAUCCGGAUUUAUUGGGGUUAAAGGGUGCGCAGGCGGCCUGUUAAGUCAGCGGUAAAAGCCCGGGGCUCAACCCCGGCGAGCCGGUGAAACGGGCGGGCUGGAGGUGGAGAGAGGGACGGGGGAGGCGCGGGGUAGGGGUG
This 347-nucleotide ribosomal RNA is filed under the name uncultured bacterium. RNAcentral describes it as "partial 16S ribosomal RNA". It matches the Rfam family "Bacterial small subunit ribosomal RNA", at positions 338 to 683 of the family's 1533-position model. The record is from RNAcentral.